CGGCAUCUAAUACUGGAUAUGAGCUGCGAUCGCAUGGUCAGCAGUUGGAAAGAUUUUUCGGUCUGGGAUGGGCUCACGGCCUAUCAGCUUGUUGGUGAGGUAAUGGCUCACCAAGGCGUCGACGGGUAGCCGGCCUGAGAGGGUGACCGGCCACACUGGGACUGAGACACGGCCCAGACUCCUACGGGAGGCAGCAGUGGGGAAUAUUGCACAAUGGGCGAAAGCCUGAUGCAGCAACGCCGCGUGAGGGAUGACGGCCUUCGGGUUGUAAACCUCUUUUAGCAGGGAAGAAGCGAAAGUGACGGUACCUGCAGAAAAAGCGCCGGCUAACUACGUGCCAGCAGCCGCGGUAAUACGUAGGGCGCAAGCGUUAUCCGGAAUUAUUGGGCGUAAAGAGCUCGUAGGCGGUUUGUCGCGUCUGCUGUGAAAUCCCGAGGCUCAACCUCGGGUCUGCAGUGGGUACGGGCAGACUAGAGUGCGGUAGGGGAGAUUGGAAUUCCUGGUGUAGCGGUGGAAUGCGCAGAUAUCACGAGGAACACCGAUGGCGAAAGGCAGAUCUCUGGGCCGUUACUGACGCUGAGGAGCGAAAGGGUGGGGAGCAAAC
RNAcentral lists this ribosomal RNA (604 nucleotides) under Microbacterium sp. RNAcentral's name for it is "bacterial SSU rRNA". It matches the Rfam family "Bacterial small subunit ribosomal RNA", at positions 157 to 773 of the family's 1533-position model. Lineage: Bacteria; Bacillati; Actinomycetota; Actinomycetes; Micrococcales; Microbacteriaceae. The record is from RNAcentral.